Long non-coding RNA from Phycodurus eques (leafy seadragon), 302 nucleotides. RefSeq lists it as uncharacterized. The record is from RefSeq and is a predicted model, not a curated record. The transcript is spliced from 3 exons. Lineage: Eukaryota; Metazoa; Chordata; Actinopteri; Syngnathiformes; Syngnathidae.
AGCGUGGUCGUCUCAGAUGUUGUCGAGCAUUUCCUCACAAAAAAGAAAGAAAGCAAGAGAAAAAAGAAAUGAAAAAGGAAGCCAGCAGAUGCAGGAAAAAUGAAGCCUUGGUCCGCUCAUCCAGAUGUUACAUCAUGCCAGAAACGUUCAGGGUGUACCCCGCCUCCUGCCCGAUGACAGCUGGGAUAGGCUCCAGCACUCCCACGACCCUUGUGAGGAGAAGCGGCUCAGAAAAUGGAUGGAUGGUUGGAUCGUGCAAGCAGAACAGCGCAGAGGAGGAAAAGUGAAGAAAUGUCGCUGAG